GGCGUAGCUUAGCCUGGUAGAGCGCCUGGUUUGGGACCAGGAGGUCGAAGGUUCGAAUCCUUUCGC
This 66-nucleotide transfer RNA is filed under the name marine eukaryotic metagenome. It matches the Rfam family "tRNA", at positions 5 to 66 of the family's 71-position model. Rfam says of the family: Transfer RNA (tRNA) molecules are approximately 80 nucleotides in length. Their secondary structure includes four short double-helical elements and three loops (D, anti-codon, and T loops). The record is from RNAcentral.